GAGAAAAGGCAGUGUUUACAUUGCUGGCUAGUUACAUCAAUAGUGGUAGUCACUCAGAUGGCCACUAGUAGCUGCUUCCUUGGUCAGCACUGCAUAGUGUGCAGCACUGACGUUCAUGGUCUCCACACUCUGCAUGGAGACGCUGAACAUUCUUCAUAGAGAAGCAUUGACUCAAUGCAUCUCUAUGAGGAAAUACUGUUUGGUGCAGAACUGCGAUUUGCCGUGCAUGCACAACAGCCUCCCAAUGCAUUCCAAUGUAAAAAGAAGGAUUGCAUUGGGCGAGAUUAUCAAAUUUUAGGAUCUCAGCCAGAGAUGCGGAGUUAGCCACAACAAGACCGGUCUGGCACUGGAAAUAAGGUGAGUAAAAACCUAUGGUGUUAAGGAGUCAAGCAGAGCCGUGGACUUAAACAGCGCAUUUACAAAUGUUGUGUCCGGAAUAGGUUUGUAAUCCGGACACUAUAGUGUUCCUUUAAGAAUCUGUUGUAAAGAGGAUUUUUUCACUACAGACUACAAUUAAAAGGACACUAUAUGCAUGCAUCUCAAUGCAUAUGCUAGCCCUACAAGUGAAAACAUUGCUGUUCUGCAGGAAUGGCAAUGUUUUCACUGAAGGGUUUAAAUGCCUCUGGUGGCCGUCACUCCGACAACACGUAGAGGUGGUUUCUACAAAAUAGCUUAGAGAAGCAAGUCUAUUUAAAAUUAGAUCAUUUCAUAGAGACCAUCUGGUUGGCGCAGCACAGAGUUUUGCCUUACAUGCGCACUAGCCUUCCAAUGAUGUCCUAUGGGAUUGGCUGAGAUAAUUAAGCUUGAGUAUCUCAGGAAGGAGGCAGGGCCAGCUACAGUGAGAAGCGCAGUGUGGUAUAAAAGGGAAGUAAUACCUUUUUUAGUCCUUGCAGGGGAAGGGGGGUGGAGGUCACUUAAACAGUGAUUAGCACACGAUAACAUUAGGAGUACACAUUUGAAUUUCAAUCGCUAAAAAGUUCCUUUAAAUGUCUGUGAUCAGGCAUUCCUUUAAAGGAGUUAUAGGAAAUUUACCCCAUACACGAUAAGACUGAUGACCAUACCUCC
Pelobates cultripes (western spadefoot toad) is the source of this 1065-nucleotide non-coding RNA. NCBI's taxonomy places the organism in Eukaryota, Metazoa, Chordata, Amphibia, Anura, Pelobatidae. The record is from the annotation of a GenBank genome assembly.